AGUGAACGCUGGCGGUAGGCCUAACACAUGCAAGUCGAACGGCAGCACAGUAACAGCUUGAUCUUAAAGGUGAAGAGAGGAGGAAGGGUGAAGAAUAACACAGAAACUACUUUUUCGUGGGGGAUAACGUAGGGAAACUUACGCUAAUACCGCAUACGACCUACGGGUGAAAGCAGGGGAUCUUCGGACCUUGCGCGAUUGAAUGAGCCGAUGUCGGAUUAGCUAGUUGGCGGGGUAAAGGCCCACCAAGGCGACGAUCCGUAGCUGGUCUAAGAGGAUGAUCAGCCACACUGGAACUGAGACACGGUCCAGACUCCUACGGGAGGCAGCAGUGGGGAAUAUUGGACAAUGGGCGCAAGCCUGAUCCAGCCAUACCGCGUGGGUGAAGAAGGCCUUCGGGUUGUAAAGCCCUUUUGUUGGGAAAGAAAAGCAGCAGGUUAAUACCCCGCUGUUCUGACGGUACCCAAAGAAUAAGCACCGGCUAACUUCGUG
Molecule: ribosomal RNA, 492 nt
Filed under: uncultured bacterium
Lineage: Bacteria
Description: partial 16S ribosomal RNA
Rfam family: Bacterial small subunit ribosomal RNA
Source: RNAcentral